Molecule: ribosomal RNA, 206 nt
Filed under: uncultured bacterium
Lineage: Bacteria
Description: partial 16S ribosomal RNA
Rfam family: Bacterial small subunit ribosomal RNA
Source: RNAcentral
UGCGUAGGCUGUUUCGUAAGUCGUGUGUGAAAGGCGCGGGCUCAACCCGCGGACGGCACAUGAUACUGCGAGACUAGAGUAAUGGAGGGGGAACCGGAAUUCUCGGUGUAGCAGUGAAAUGCGUAGAUAUCGAGAGGAACACUCGUGGCGAAGGCGGGUUCCUGGACAUUAACUGACGCUGAGGCACGAAGGCCAGGGGAGCAAAG